CUGGCUCAGGAUGAACGCUGGCGGCGUGCUUAACACAUGCAAGUCGAACGAUGAACCUCACUUGUGGGGGGAUUAGUGGCGAACGGGUGAGUAACACGUGAGUAACCUGCCCUUGACUCUGGGAUAAGCCUGGGAAACCGGGUCUAAUACUGGAUACGACCUUCUGGCGCAUGCCAUGUUGGUGGAAAGCUUUUGUGGUUUUGGAUGGACUCGCGGCCUAUCAGCUUGUUGGUGGGGUAAUGGCCUACCAAGGCGACGACGGGUAGCCGGCCUGAGAGGGUGACCGGCCACACUGGGACUGAGACACGGCCCAGACUCCUACGGGAGGCAGCAGUGGGGAAUAUUGCACAAUGGGCGCAAGCCUGAUGCAGCGACGCCGCGUGAGGGAUGAAGGCCUUCGGGUUGUAAACCUCUUUCAGUAGGGA
Molecule: ribosomal RNA, 425 nt
Filed under: Arthrobacter sp. R-26170
Lineage: Bacteria; Bacillati; Actinomycetota; Actinomycetes; Micrococcales; Micrococcaceae
Description: bacterial SSU rRNA
Rfam family: Bacterial small subunit ribosomal RNA
Source: RNAcentral